UACGGGGGGUGCAAGCGUUGCUCGGAAUCACUGGGCGUAAAGCGUCCGCAGGUGGAGAGGAAAGUCGGUCGUGAAAGCCCGAGGCUCAACCUCGGAACUGCGAUCGAAACUUCCUCCCUCGAGUUCGGGAGAGGGGAGCGGAAUUCCUGGUGUAGAGGUGAAAUUCGUAGAUAUCAGGAGGAACACCGGUGGCGAAAGCGGCUCCCUGGCCCGAAACUGACACUCAUGGACGAAAGCGUGGGGAGCAAACAGG
Molecule: ribosomal RNA, 253 nt
Filed under: uncultured bacterium
Lineage: Bacteria
Description: partial 16S ribosomal RNA
Rfam family: Bacterial small subunit ribosomal RNA
Source: RNAcentral